GUACGGGAGGCAGCAGUGGGGAAUUUUGCGCAAUGGGGGAAACCCUGACGCAGCAACGCCACGCGAGUGAUGAAGGCUUUCGGGUCGUAAAGCUCUGUCAGAGGGGAAGAAAUGGGACGUGCUAAUAUCACGUCUUCUUGACGGUACCCUCAAAGGAAGCACCGGCUAACUCCGUGCCAGCGGCCGCGGUAAUACGGAGGGUGCAAGCGUUGUUCGGAUUUAUUGGGCGUAAAGCGCGUGUAGGCGGUUUCUUAAGUCUGAUGUGAAAGCCCUGGGCUCAACCCAGGAAGUGCAUUGGAUACUGGGAGACUUGAAUACGGGAGAGGGUAGUGGAAUUCCUAGUGUAGGAGUGAAAUCCGUAGAUAUUAGGAGGAACACCGGUGGCGAAGGCGGCUACCUGGACCGAUAUUGACGCUGAGACGCGAAAGCGUGGGGAGCAAACAGGAUUAGAUACCCUGGUAGUCCA
Molecule: ribosomal RNA, 466 nt
Filed under: uncultured bacterium
Lineage: Bacteria
Description: bacterial SSU rRNA
Rfam family: Bacterial small subunit ribosomal RNA
Source: RNAcentral